AGCCAGAAGCUUGCUUCUGGUGGAUGAGUGGCGAACGGGUGAGUAACACGUGAGUAACCUGCCCCUGAUUUCGGGAUAAGCCUGGGAAACCGGGUCUAAUACCGGAUACGACCACCGAACGCAUGUUCGGUGGUGGAAAGUUUUUCGAUCAGGGAUGGGCUCGCGGCCUAUCAGCUUGUUGGUGGGGUAAUGGCCCACCAAGGCGACGACGGGUAGCCGGCCUGAGAGGGCGACCGGCCACACUGGGACUGAGACACGGCCCAGACUCCUACGGGAGGCAGCAGUGGGGAAUAUUGCACAAUGGGGGAAACCCUGAUGCAGCGACGCAGCGUGCGGGAUGACGGCCUUCGGGUUGUAAACCGCUUUCAGCAGGGAAGAAGCGAAAGUGACGGUACCUGCAGAAGAAGUACCGGCUAACUACGUGCCAGCAGCCGCGGUAAUACGUAGGGUACGAGCGUUGUCCGGAAUUAUUGGGCGUAAAGAGCUCGUAGGUGGUUGGUCACGUCUGCUGUGGAAACGCAACGCUUAACGUUGCGCGUGCAGUGGGUACGGGCUGACUAGAGUGCAGUAGGGGAGUCUGGAAUUCCUGGUGUAGCGGUGAAAUGCGCAGAUAUCAGGAGGAACACCGGUGGCGAAGGCGGGACUCUGGGCUGUAACUGACACUGAGGAGCGAAAGCAUGGGGAGCGAACAGGAUUAGAUACCCUGGUAGUCCAUGCCGUAAACGUUGGGCACUAGGUGUGGGGGACAU
Molecule: ribosomal RNA, 749 nt
Filed under: Brevibacterium aureum
Lineage: Bacteria; Bacillati; Actinomycetota; Actinomycetes; Micrococcales; Brevibacteriaceae
Description: bacterial SSU rRNA
Rfam family: Bacterial small subunit ribosomal RNA
Source: RNAcentral